GCCUCGAUAGCUUAAACCAAAGCACCGGUCUUGUAAGCCGGAGACUGCAGAUUAAUCCCUGCUCAAGGCU
Molecule: transfer RNA, 70 nt
Filed under: Lithobates sylvaticus (wood frog)
Lineage: Eukaryota; Metazoa; Chordata; Amphibia; Anura; Ranidae
Description: Rana sylvatica (wood frog) tRNA-Thr
Rfam family: tRNA
About the family: Transfer RNA (tRNA) molecules are approximately 80 nucleotides in length. Their secondary structure includes four short double-helical elements and three loops (D, anti-codon, and T loops).
Source: RNAcentral